Molecule: ribosomal RNA, 484 nt
Filed under: uncultured bacterium
Lineage: Bacteria
Description: partial 16S ribosomal RNA
Rfam family: Bacterial small subunit ribosomal RNA
Source: RNAcentral
AUUGAACGCUGGCGGCAUGCUUUACACAUGCCAGUCGAACGGCAGCGCGGGCUUCGGCCUGGCGGCGAGUGGCGAACGGGUGAGUAAUACAUCGGAACGUGCCCAGUAGUGGGGGAUAGCCCGGCGAAAGCCGGAUUAAUACCGCAUACGACCUGAGGGUGAAAGCGGGGGAUCUUCGGACCUCGCGCUAUUGGAGCGGCCGAUGGCAGAUUAGCUAGUUGGUGGGGUAAAGGCCUACCAAGGCGACGAUCUGUAGCUGGUCUGAGAGGACGACCAGCCACACUGGGACUGAGACACGGCCCAGACUCCUACGGGAGGCAGCAGUGGGGAAUUUUGGACAAUGGGCGAAAGCCUGAUCCAGCAAUGCCGCGUGUGUGAUGAAGGCCUUCGGGUUGUAAAGCACUUUUGGCGGGAACGAAAAGGACUGUGCCAAUACCACGGUUCGAUGACGGUACCCGCAGAAUAAGCACCGGCUAACUACGUG